GCCCCCAUCGUCUAGUGGCCUAGGACACCGCCCUUUCAAGGCGGCGGCACGGGUUCGAAUCCCGUUGGGGGCACCA
This 76-nucleotide transfer RNA is filed under the name Nocardiopsaceae bacterium. RNAcentral's name for it is "tRNA-Glu". It matches the Rfam family "tRNA". From Rfam's summary of the family: Transfer RNA (tRNA) molecules are approximately 80 nucleotides in length. Their secondary structure includes four short double-helical elements and three loops (D, anti-codon, and T loops). Further hydrogen bonds mediate the characteristic L-shaped molecular structure. tRNAs have two regions of fundamental functional importance: the anti-codon, which is responsible for specific mRNA codon recognition, and the 3' end, to which the tRNAs corresponding amino acid is attached (by aminoacyl-tRNA synthetases). tRNAs cope with the degeneracy of the genetic code in two manners: having more than one tRNA (with a specific anti-codon) for a particular amino acid; and 'wobble' base-pairing, i.e. permitting non-standard base-pairing at the 3rd anti-codon position. RNAcentral also lists the same sequence under 3 other names. The record is from RNAcentral. Lineage: Bacteria; Bacillati; Actinomycetota; Actinomycetes; Streptosporangiales; Nocardiopsidaceae.